GUUUAUAAUCACCAAAGGAUAGCUGCAGGUGCUGCCCCCUCCCCUUGUAAUGAGCUGUUAUUGAUGCUAUAAUGAUGAUAUUAAACUAUUAUAACCACCAAUGCCUUAACAGGGGUGUGAUCCAGGUGUGUGGUGGUGUGUGUGUGUUCAUUUGUGUGUGUGUGUGUGUUUUGGGGGAGAAAGUGUCAGAAAAGAGAGAUCAUAGAGGAAAUUCAUCAAGAUCAUCAAGAUUCCUGAAUGAGGAACUGGAGAGAUGGUCUCCUAAAGCUCUGUGAAGUGGUCCUUGACAUUUAUAUGAAAGCUGCAGGAGGGAAUUAAAAGGGCGGUCUACAGUCCCAGAUCAACUCUCAGAAGAAAGAGCUAAGAACUCACUGCUUCCCGGGAAGAGAUAGUGGUGUCAAGUGGGGAGUUAAAGAAAAUGAAAUCGUACUCAGGUUGGUAGAGAACCCUCAUCUGAAAGUACAAGGUUUAUGAUCGAAGAGCUUGGUCUUAAAGCUCUUGGCUUUUACAAACCUAAAAUUAUUAAAAGAGCCAUGGUACAAGAAUGAAAAUUUAAGAGACCGAAAAACAUAUUUUUAUUAUAUUUGUUUUUAUUUUACAUAAUAUAUUUUGAUCAUAUUCUCUCACUUCCCUACUCUUCCCCGAUCACCAUUAUCUUAUUACUUACCAAAUUCUAUGUUAUUGCUCUCUUUCUUUAAAAAGCAAAACAACAACAGUGGGUUUAUCAGUCCCUGCACAUGUGAACACAAUGACUCCACUUUCCCAGGAAUUCAUCAACAUCCAAAUAGCUUCCCAGGUCAUGGGAGACGGUUCUCAUGUCCGUGAAGAAUUGUCAACAGGUAUAGUGCAGUGGAGGCCCAACUUAAGCAACUACUGCUGCUAUGAGACUAAGAUUAUAAUUUUAACAGUUGUGUUAUUCACAUAAGAG
RNAcentral lists this long non-coding RNA (928 nucleotides) under Rattus norvegicus (Norway rat). Its description in RNAcentral is "long non-coding RNA NONRATT033562". Lineage: Eukaryota; Metazoa; Chordata; Mammalia; Rodentia; Muridae. The record is from RNAcentral.